Molecule: ribosomal RNA, 403 nt
Filed under: uncultured bacterium
Lineage: Bacteria
Description: partial 16S ribosomal RNA
Rfam family: Bacterial small subunit ribosomal RNA
Source: RNAcentral
GACGAACGCUGGUGGCGUGCCUAAUACAUGCAAGUCGAACGCAGUGGGGACGGGUGAAUAACACGUGGGUAACCUCCCAUCAGAGGGGAUAACACUUGGAAACAGGUGCUAAACCGAUACUGAUGGAUGGACCAGCGGUGCAUUAGCUAGUUGGUGAGGGAACGGCUAACCAAGGCCACGAUGCAUAGCCGACCUGAGAGGGCUAUCGGCCAAACUGCGACUUAGACACGGCCCAGACUCAUACGGGAGGCAGCAGUAGGGAAUCUUCGGCAAUGGACGAAAGCCUGACCGAGCAACGCCGCGUAAGGCAAGAAGGUUUUCGGAUCGUAAAACUCUGUUGUUAGAGAAGCGGUAUCUAACCAGAAAGCCACGGCUAACUACGUGCCAGCAGCCGCGGUAAUAC